CCUACGCGCGGCAGCAGUGAGGAAUAUUGGUCAAUGGCCGUAAGGCUGAACCAGCCAAGUAGCGUGAGGGAAGACUGCCCUAUGGGUUGUAAACCUCUUUUAUGCGGGGAUAAAGGUGUCCACGUGUGGAUGUUUGCAGGUAACGCAUGAAUAAGGACCGGCUAAUUCCGGGCCAGCAGCCGCGGUAAUACGGAAGGUCCGGGCGUUAACCGGAUUUAUUGGGUUUAAAGGGGACGUAGGCCGGUCUUUAAGCGGGCCGUGAAAUUUUGUGGGUCAACCCUGAGAGUGCCGCUGGAACUGGAGACCUUGAGUGCGCGGAAGGCAGGCGGAAUUCGUGGUGUAGCGGUGAAAUGCUUAGAUAUCACGAAGAACCCCGAUUGCGAAGGCAGCCUGCCGCAGCGUUACUGACGCUGAAGCUCGAAAGCGCGGGUAUCGAACAGGAUUAGAUACCCUUGUAGUC
RNAcentral lists this ribosomal RNA (460 nucleotides) under uncultured bacterium. Its description in RNAcentral is "partial 16S ribosomal RNA". It matches the Rfam family "Bacterial small subunit ribosomal RNA", at positions 338 to 795 of the family's 1533-position model. The record is from RNAcentral.